RNAcentral lists this ribosomal RNA (356 nucleotides) under uncultured bacterium. RNAcentral's name for it is "bacterial SSU rRNA". It matches the Rfam family "Bacterial small subunit ribosomal RNA", at positions 527 to 881 of the family's 1533-position model. The record is from RNAcentral.
GUAGGUGGCAAGCGUUAUCCGGAAUUAUUGGGCGUAAAGCACGCGCAGGUGGUUUCUUAAGUCUGAUGUGAAAGCCCACGGCUCAACCGUGGAGGGUCAUUGGAAACUGGGAGACUUGAGUGCAGAAGAGGAAAGUGGAAUUCCAUGUGUAGCGGUGAAAUGCGUAGAGAUAUGGAGGAACACCAGUGGCGAAGGCGACUUUCUGGUCUGUAACUGACACUGAGGCGCGAAAGCGUGGGGAGCAAACAGGAUUAGAUACCCUGGUAGUCCACGCCGUAAACGAUGNGUGCUNAGUGUUAGAGGGUUUCCGCCCUUUAGUGCUGAAGUUAACGCAUUAAGCACUCCGCCUGGGGAGU